AGAUUAGCCAUGCAUGUCUAAGUAUAAGCAAUUAUACAGCGAAACUGCGAAUGGCUCAUUAUAUAAGUUAUCGUUUAUUUGAUAGUACCUUACUACUUGGAUAACCGUGGUAAUUCUAGAGCUAAUACAUGCUAAAAAUCCCGACUUCGGAAGGGAUGUAUUUAUUAGAUUAAAAACCAAUGCCCUCUGGGCUCCUUGGUGAUUCAUAAUAACUUUUCGAAUCGCAUGGCCUUGCGCCGGCGAUGGUUCAUUCAAAUUUCUUCCCUAUCAACUUUCGAUGUUUGGGUAUUGGCCAAACAUGGUCGCAACGGGUAACGGAGGGUUAGGGCUCGACCCCGGAGAAGGAGCCUGAGAAACGGCUACUACAUCCAAGGAAGGCAGCAGGCGCGCAAAUUACCCAAUCCCGAUUCGGGGAGGUAGUGACAAUAAAUACUGAUACAGGGCUCUUUUGGGUCUUGUAAUUGGAAUGAGUACAAUUUAAAUCUCUUAACGAGGAACAAUUGGAGGGCAAGUCUGGUGCCAGCAGCCGCGGUAAUUCCAGCUCCAAUAGCGUAUAUUAAAGUUGUUGUGGUUAAAAAGCUCGUAGUUGAACCUUGGGCCUGGCUGGCCGGUCCGCCUCACCGCGUGUACUGGUCCGGCCGGGCCUUUCCCUCUGUGGAACCUCAUGCCCUUCACUGGGCGUGGCGGGGAAACAGGACUUUUACUUUGAAAAAAUUAGAGUGCUCCAGGCAGGCCUAUGCUCGAAUACAUUAGCAUGGAAUAAUGAAAUAGGACGUGUGGUUCUAUUUUGUUGGUUUCUAGGACCGCCGUAAUGAUUAAUAGGGACAGUCGGGGGCAUCAGUAUUCAAUUGUCAGAGGUGAAAUUCUUGGAUUUAUUGAAGACUAACUACUGCGAAAGCAUUUGCCAAGGAUGUUUUCAUUAAUCAGGAACGAAAGUUAGGGGAUCGAAGACGAUCAGAUACCGUCGUAGUCUUAACCAUAAACUAUGCCGACUAGGGAUCGGASGAUGUUAUUUUUUGACGCGUUNGGCACCUUACGAGAAAUCAAAGUGCUUGGGCUCCAGGGGGAGUAUGGUCGCAAGGCUGAAACUUAAAGAAAUUGACGGAAGGGCACCACCAGGGGUGGAGCCUGCGGCUUAAUUUGACUCAACACGGGGAAACUCACCAGGUCCAGACACAAUGAGGAUUGACAGAUUGAGAGCUCUUUCUUGAUUUUGUGGGUGGUGGUGCAUGGCCGUUCUUAGUUGGUGGAGUGAUUUGUCUGCUUAAUUGCGAUAACRAACGAGACCUUAACCUGCUAAAUAGCCCGUAUUGCUUUGGCAGUACGCUGGCUUCUUAGAGGGACUAUCGGCUCAAGCCGAUGGAAGUUUGAGGCAAUAACAGGUCUGUGAUGC
This 1393-nucleotide ribosomal RNA is filed under the name Lecanicillium praecognitum. RNAcentral's name for it is "SSU rRNA". The record is from RNAcentral. Lineage: Eukaryota; Fungi; Ascomycota; Sordariomycetes; Hypocreales; Cordycipitaceae.